UGAGGGAUAUUGGGCAAUGGGGGCAACCCUGAUGCAGCAACGCCGCGUGCGGGACGAAGGCCUUCGGGUCGUAAACCGCUUUUCUGGGGGACGAGCAAGGACGGUACCUCAGGAAUAAGUCUCGGCUAACUACGUGCCAGCAGCCGCGGUAAAACGUAGGAGGCGAGCGUUAUCCGGAUUUACUGGGCGUAAAGCGCAUGCAGGCGGCGGGGUGAGUCGGACGUGAAAGCUCCUGGCUUAACUGGGAGAGGUCGUUCGAUACUGCCCGGCUUGAGGUUGGGAGAGGGGUGCGGAAUUCCCGGUGUAGUGGUGGAAUGCGUAGAUAUCGGGAGGAACACCAGUGGCGAAGGCGGCACCCUGGCCCACACCUGACGCUGAGGUGCGAAAGCGUGGGUAGCAAACAGG
Molecule: ribosomal RNA, 405 nt
Filed under: uncultured prokaryote
Also listed under: 1 other name
Description: bacterial SSU rRNA
Rfam family: Bacterial small subunit ribosomal RNA
Source: RNAcentral